AAGACCUUUGCGCUUUUGGAGCGGCCGAUGCCUGAUUAGCUAGUUGGUGGGGUAAUGGCCUACCAAAGCUUCGAUCAGUAGCUGGUCUGAGAGGACGGCCAGCCACACUGGGACUGAGACACGGCCCAGACUCCUACGGGAGGCAGCAGUGGGGAAUUUUGGACAAUGGGCGCAAGCCUGAUCCAGCCAUGCCGCGUGAGUGAAGAAGGCCUUCGGGUUGUAAAGCUCUUUCAGCCGGGAAGAAAAGGUUGCGAUUAAUAAUCGCAAUUUAUGACGGUACCGGAAGAAGAAGCACCGGCUAACUACGUGCCAGCAGCCGCGGUAAUACGUAGGGUGCGAGCGUUAAUCGGAAUUACUGGGCGUAAAGGGUGCGCAGGCGGUUUUGUAAGUCAGAUGUGAAAUCCCCGGGCUUAACCUGGGAACU
Molecule: ribosomal RNA, 424 nt
Filed under: uncultured bacterium
Lineage: Bacteria
Description: bacterial SSU rRNA
Rfam family: Bacterial small subunit ribosomal RNA
Source: RNAcentral